Molecule: long non-coding RNA, 319 nt
Organism: Tympanuchus pallidicinctus (lesser prairie-chicken)
Lineage: Eukaryota; Metazoa; Chordata; Aves; Galliformes; Phasianidae
Exons: 3
Source: RefSeq, a predicted model, not a curated record
CUAUAGGGCACUGUGUAGCUCUAUGGGGCACUGUGUGUCUCUAUAGGGCGCUAUGGGGCACUGCGUGGCGCUAUGGGGCACUGUGUGUCUCUAUGGGGCGUUAUGGGGCGCUGUGUGUCUCUAUGGGGCGCUAUGGGGCACUCCGUGUCUCUGUAGGGCGCUAUGGGGCGCUGUGUGUCUCUAUAGGGCGCUAUGGGGCACUGUGUGUCUCUAUAGGGCUCUAUGGGGCGCUGCGUGUCUCUAUAGGGCGCUAUGGGGCUCUGUGUGUCUCUGUAGGGCGCUAUGGGGCACUGCGUGUCUCUAUAGGGCUCUAUGGGGC